CAGUAGCCGCGGGAAUACGGAGGGUGCAAGCGUUAAUCGGAAUUACUGGGCGUAAAGCGCACGCAGGCGGUUUGUUAAGUCAGAUGUGAAAUCCCCGAGCUUGACUUGGGAACUGCAUUUGAAACUGGCAAGCUAGAGUCUUGUAGAGGGGGGUAGAAUUCCAGGUGUAGCGGUGAAAUGUGUAGAGAUCUGGAGGAACACCAGUGGCGAAGGCGGGUCUCUGGGCAGUAACUGACGCUGAGGAGCGAAAGCGUGGGGAGCGAACAGGAUUAGAUACCCCGGUAGUCCCUGUCUCUUAUAC
RNAcentral lists this ribosomal RNA (301 nucleotides) under uncultured bacterium. Its description in RNAcentral is "partial 16S ribosomal RNA". It matches the Rfam family "Bacterial small subunit ribosomal RNA", at positions 509 to 807 of the family's 1533-position model. The record is from RNAcentral.